RNA transcript from Cornus florida, 3409 nucleotides. It is a transcript of the gene named F-box protein CPR1-like, with no coding region annotated. The transcript has 3 exons. NCBI's taxonomy places the organism in Eukaryota, Viridiplantae, Streptophyta, Magnoliopsida, Cornales, Cornaceae. The record is from RefSeq and is a predicted model, not a curated record.
UGGCCAAACUAACUCCACUAAAAGUUCACUGCAGGAGACAGCAAUGAAACCACACAGAAGAGGAUUUGCUCCCCCAAACCCUAACCUUAAAAUCGAAACCCUCUGCAGUCUCCUUCACCCCUUCUGCAACUCUAUGUAUAAACCCUAAAAUAGAAAAUGAAAAAAAAUGUCACAUCUUCCGCCCGAUGUGAUCGCCGACAUAGUCUCAAUAUUAGCGGUGAAACCCCUUCUACGGUUCAGAUGCGUUUCGAAAUGGUGGUGUGCUCUAAUCGACAGCCCACCGCAGCCUCUUUCUAAAAGACUCAGGUGCCACCAUAGACUUUGACACGCUCGAGUUUGACAACCCCAUCAACUGGGACGACUACUUUGGAGCUGAAAUGAUUGGUUGUUGCAAUGGCUUGCUCGGUUUUCUUUAGCAUAGAUGAUCACAUUGUGCUGCUGAACCCUUCCACCCGAAAACGCCAGAUGUUACCCUUCACACCGGUUGAGGUACCUCGUGAACCACGUUGCCCUUGCCCGGACGACGGCCGUGUUGAACGCUGCUUUUGUCCGAAUACUGCUUACGACUUUGGCUAUGAUUCCGUCAAUGAUGACUACAAGGUAGUGAGGAUAACACAACUAUAUGACAAAGAUGAUAAUGAUUCAUUUGAUUCUAUAGUUAAGAUUUACAGUCUCAAAUCAAAUUCAUGGCGAAGAAUUCAAGAUUUCCCUUAUUACUUCUUGCACAAUGGGCCGGAUGCUGCUCUUGCUAGUGGGGCUUUUCAUUGGGUUGUGAGUCGAAAACCCUAUUCGGAUACGGUCAGGUUGAUUGCUGCUUUUGAUCUUGGGAUUGAGCAAUAUCGGUUGGUGCCACUGCCUGAAUUUUCAGAUGAGAAUUUCCGUAUGUAUGUGGAUGUGUUAGGAGGAUGUCUUUCUUUGCUGUGCAAUUAUGCCAGGGUCCGUGCUGAGGUAUGGGUGAUGAAGGAGUAUGGAGUUAAGGAGUCUUGGACUAAAUUAUUUUGUGUUGCUCAACCUACUAUUAUCAGGUCGUUUCGCUAUGUGAGAACUUUGGCUUAUUCAAAGACGGGUGAGAAAGUACUAAUGCAACGGGAUGAUCAAAAACUUCUUUGGUAUGACCUAGGAAAGAAAAGAAUUAAAAAACUGAAGAUUCGCAGCCGGCUUGUACCAGAUGAAGUUGAGAUUUAUUUUGAAAGCCUUGUUCCCCUUCGUGAAUCGUGAUGAUGGUGAGUGACAGAAGAGAAGGUGAAGAAGAAAAAUAUAAAGUAGAGAAGGGCUAUGAAGUAUUUUCUCUAUCACAUUGCAAGUCCUAAGGUCAGUAUCAGGCUCUCACGUACUAGCAGUACAUUUUACAAGAGGUUUUUAUUUUUUAUUUUUCUUAGAGAUAUUUUCCUAUCCAAGAGGUUCACACUGUUGACUGGUGCUAUAAGAAACUUGAAGAAGUAACAACGUAGGAGCAAGACGGAGAGGUAGGUUAAUAAAUUUUUGGCAGCAUCUUUUUAAAGUGGAGUUGAUUUAUUUCCUUUUUACUUGGUUUAUCGGCUAUCUUAUGUGGUCAGGAUUUUGUUGUUCUACAUGAGAUUUCUCCUGUUUUUACUAAUUUCCAUCUCCUCCAAACUAUAAAAACAGCAUGAUUUCUUUUGAAAUUUCUCAAAUCUCAUAAAAAGUGGUUAUAUGGAGAUUUUGGGAGAUGAGUUAGGCUUGUCAAUAAUCUCACUGAAAUCUUAGAAAAAAAAAAAGACUUUUAUCACUUAUGCGCCAUCCUCAUCCUGCUGAUUGAUGCAAAAGAUUUUUUUUUUUGCUUGGAAGGUGAUGCAAAAGUUUACUCUCAUUUAUUAUUAUUAUUUUUUUGGGUGGUAACACUCUCCACCCACUGCAGGGGUGGGACAAUUCCCUUAGGCCAAGUGGCAAAAGUUAUGUAAUUGAUUCAGUUGACCUAUCAUAUAACCUAUAUAAUCUCUGAUCUAAUUCAGCAACUCUCAGAUUUGGGAUUCAGAGUUUUUUAUUUUUUUAUUUUUUGCCAAAAGUCAUAAAAUACGCAAUUAUCGAUUGACAAUAUGUAAAUGCUACUAUAGAAGAAUGAGUUAUGCAUGCCUAAGGAAAACUAUAAUUCUGUGAUGAAACCUAGAAACAAGUGGUUUAAGUGUCCUGUGUCACCGUAAAGCAACAAUCUUUGUUCUAAUUACACAUAUGUUUGUCACCCUGGUGGUAGAAAGCUUAUUUGGGGAAAGGGGGAAAACCAUUGAUCUAGUUGAUGCAUGUUACAACACUACGGGAUUGUACAGGUGUACUUUUUUUAUAGUUCAUCUGUUACAAACUAAUCUGAAUAUAUUAGAGGGAAAUAUAGCGCUUAUUGAAUAUUUGAAGGAGCCAUCAUUUGCCAAUAGGAGCCCGUGCAGGGUUCAUAUGACACUUUCUACGAAAGAGCUGAAUGAUUCAAAUUUAACAUACGAAAACAUAUUCAAUUAACUACGUGAUUGUGUACCAUCAAGACCUGUGGCUUUGUGAUACAUAUUAACUCUUUUCAUAGUGGAAGGUGGAGAGUUCAAAUCUUCAGGAGUAAUUUGCUGAGGGAAAAAGAAAAAAUAUGUGAUUGAGUCAUUUAUUCUCAGUGUUUGCCUUGAGACAAUUUUUGUAUGAUGGUUCCUUCUUUUGGAACAUCAGGUAUGCAAUUAAUUCUGUUGUCAUCCCCAUUCUUAUUUUCUUAUUUAUGUAUUUAUUUUUUCAUUCUAUAUAUCGUAAUAAUGCCAUUGCAGUGAAGUCACAAUACCUAAGAUCACCAGCUAUUUAGUCUCUGAGCCACAUUCUAGCUUUUUCUAAUCUCACGAUUCGAGAUUUCGAAAUCUCAUAACUAGUGAAAAAGAAGAAAACCGUUCACUUUCAGACAGUUUCCUGCGCAUCAAGGGGCUUCACUUAUGAAGUCAAGAUAGGGAAGGGUAGUCUACAAUCAGGGAAUGCCUUUGUACAACAUGAAAGGGAUGAUCUUCUGGCAACGGAGUUUGAAGUAGUGCUUUAAGCAUCUGGAUGAAGAAAUAAAGUUGAAGCAAAUGCAGAGAUAUAUUGACAGAUUUUGGGCUGUAGUAUCUGAAUUCCGAUUAAAUGCAGAAAUACAGUUGAAUCUUUGUUUCCUUUCCUAUUAAAUCUUUGCAAUAUUAGUGGCAGUGUUUUGUUAGGUAGAUGCCAAUUGAAUGGCAGGCGCUCAGUCGAUGCCGUGCACCCCUGCUAUCUGUUCCAUUCUAACAUGUUUUUCUUAUCUAAUUCAUAAUGUAUAAUGAAUAGUUCAGCGUACUACAUAUUUUAGGUACCAAUACUAAAUUAUGAAUGAUGUCUUGUAAGCAAUACUUAAUUUGGUUUUUGAAAAGUUUUACAUACCAUUAAUUACGGCAUAUGUACUUGUAUUUUUCGGUGCUAA